Molecule: ribosomal RNA, 810 nt
Filed under: Xylaria berteroi
Lineage: Eukaryota; Fungi; Ascomycota; Sordariomycetes; Xylariales; Xylariaceae
Description: partial large subunit ribosomal RNA
Rfam family: Eukaryotic large subunit ribosomal RNA
Source: RNAcentral
CCUAGUAACGGCGAGUGAAGCGGCAACAGCUCAAAUUUGAAAUCUGGCCCUCGGGUCCGAGUUGUAAUUUGUAGAGGAUGCUUUUGGCGCGGUGCCUUCCGAGUUCCCUGGAACGGGACGCCUUAGAGGGUGAGAGCCCCGUACGGUUGGACACCAAGCCUCUGUAAAGCUCCUUCGACGAGUCGAGUAGUUUGGGAAUGCUGCUCUAAAUGGGAGGUAAAUUUCUUCUAAAGCUAAAUAUUGGCCAGAGACCGAUAGCGCACAAGUAGAGUGAUCGAAAGAUGAAAAGCACUUUGAAAAGAGGGUUAAAUAGCACGUGAAAUUGUUGAAAGGGAAGCGUUUGCGACCAGACCUUUUCCUAGCGGAUCAACCGGUGUUCUCACCGGUGCACUUCGCUAGGUUUAGGCCAGCAUCGGUUUCUGUAGGGGGAUAAAAGCUCUGGGAACGUAGCUCCUCCGGGAGUGUUAUAGCCCUCUGCAUAAUACCCUUACGGGGACCGAGGACCGCGCUUCGGCAAGGAUGCUGGCGUAAUGGUCGUCAACGACCCGUCUUGAAACACGGACCAAGGAGUCGAACAUUUGUGCGAGUGUUUGGGUGUUAAACCCUCACGCGUAAUGAAAGUGAACGGAGGUGAGAGCCCUUACGGGUGCAUCAUCGACCGAUCCUGAUGUCUUCGGAUGGAUUUGAGUAAGAGCAUAACUGUUCGGACCCGAAAGAUGGUGAACUAUGCGUGGAUAGGGUGAAGCCAGAGGAAACUCUGGUGGAGGCUCGCAGCGGUUCUGACGUGCAAAUCGAUCGUCAAAUCUGCGC